GGAGGUAGUGACAAUAAAUCACAAUGCGGAACUUCUGUUUUGCAAUUGGAUUGAGAACAACGCACAACACUUAUCGAUAAACAAUUGGAGGGCAAGUCUGGUGCCAGCAGCCGCGGUAAUUCCAGCUCCAAUAGCGUAUAUUAACGUUGUUGCAGUUAAAAAGCUCGUAGUUGAAGUGAAGUGUGAACCUUCUGGAUUUUCGUUCGAAUUUCUUGCUGGUUCGCACUCUUUCCAAAUAGUUUGCAUGGGUAUUCACUUAUCUGUGUAUUGCAUUUGGUCAUUUACUGUGAGAAAAUUAGAGUGUUCAAAGCAUACGUUUGUUUGAAUACAUUAGCAUGGAAUAAUUCGAAAAGGCUUUCAUGUUCGAUUUGAUUGGUUUGUUCGUGAAGGCAAGAUUAAAAGGGACAGUUGGGGGUAUUCAUAUUCAAUAGUCAGAGGUGAAAUUCUCGGAUUUAUGGAAGAUGAACAA
This 469-nucleotide ribosomal RNA is filed under the name Blastocystis sp. subtype 10. Its description in RNAcentral is "SSU rRNA". It matches the Rfam family "Eukaryotic small subunit ribosomal RNA", at positions 460 to 942 of the family's 1831-position model. Lineage: Eukaryota; Bigyra; Opalinata; Blastocystidae. The record is from RNAcentral.